UUUCAUCACAUUCCCAAAGAGGGUGGGCCUUUAAGAUUACCAAGGAGCACUAAACUACUGGGUAUUCUGUGUUAUCGGCUAAAACAACUCCAUUAUUUGGUCAAAAACCAAAGCUGAGUUGUCAGCAAAACUCACUGGGGACUGAGAACAGAACAGUAAGGGGGAAUGGGGGUUGUUUGUCACAUGAAGUGCCAUGAAGCAGCUCAACCUCAACAUUUCGGGAAUCUAAAGUGUGAGCCCCUCGACUAGCAACAGAAGCAUGAUCCGAAGGCACAUUCGAAAUCGAGGAUCUCAGGCCCCAACCCGCAUAUCUCAGAUCUGAAUCUGCAUUUUACCAAAAUUCCCCUGUCUUCAUUAGGAGAGGUCUUCUGUUUCACAGCAAAAUGACCAGCAGAUAACAUCACUGCUGCAACACAAAUACCGAGUGUAGUUUUCAGUUAAAAGAUUCUGUGUGUGCACAGAGAAAAAAAAAGAGCUUCUUUUUCUGCUGAAUGGAGAAAAGCAGCAAAUGAUUUGAUGUUCCAUUUUUGCCCAGCUCAUCACGUUCGUCUCCAGAAGAGAAGCUGUAUUUGCCUGAUUGUUAUUAACACACAGGGGCAUUUCUUCAUGGCUGUCCUUAGAGUGCACACUCUCAAGCCGCCUUAGAGGUGAGGUCACCUUUGGAUCUCCACUAGCUCAGUUCCUUUGGAUGGCAUCCAAGACAGAACUGCCUUCUGCCGAAUUUCACUGCUGUGGCCAAUGAAGUAAUAAUGAGACUCUUGUGGCAAUGCCCCUUGGAUUGUAAACAAUCAAAUUCCCAAUAUAAGUACCAGCAUUUACAAUGA
Molecule: non-coding RNA, 824 nt
Organism: Macaca mulatta (Rhesus monkey)
Lineage: Eukaryota; Metazoa; Chordata; Mammalia; Primates; Cercopithecidae
Source: RefSeq, a predicted model, not a curated record